This 301-nucleotide ribosomal RNA is filed under the name uncultured bacterium. Its description in RNAcentral is "partial 16S ribosomal RNA". It matches the Rfam family "Bacterial small subunit ribosomal RNA", at positions 509 to 807 of the family's 1533-position model. The record is from RNAcentral.
CAGCAGCCACGGGAAAACGGAGGGUGCAAGCGUUAAUCGGAAUUACUGGGCGUAAAGCGUGCGUAGGCGGUUCGUUAAGUCUGUUGUGAAAGCCCCGGGCUCAACCUGGGAAUGGCAAUGGAUACUGGCGAGCUAGAGUGUGUCAGAGGAUGGUGGGAUUCCCGGUGUAGCGGUGAAAUGCGUAGAGAUCGGGAGGAACAUCAGUGGCGAAGGCGGCCAUCUGGGACAACACUGACGCUGAGGCACGAAAGCGUGGGGAGCAAACAGGAUUAGAGACCCCGGUAGUCCCUGUCUCUUAUAC